This 84-nucleotide ribosomal RNA is filed under the name Prorocentrum donghaiense. Its description in RNAcentral is "partial large subunit ribosomal RNA". It matches the Rfam family "Eukaryotic large subunit ribosomal RNA", at positions 2619 to 2702 of the family's 3401-position model. The record is from RNAcentral. Lineage: Eukaryota; Dinophyceae; Prorocentrales; Prorocentraceae.
GUUUGGCUGGGGCGGCACAUCUGUAAAAUGAUAACGCAGGUGUCCUAAGGUGAGCUCAAUGAGAACAGAAAUCUCAUGUGGACC